Molecule: microRNA precursor, 76 nt
Filed under: Pteropus vampyrus (large flying fox)
Lineage: Eukaryota; Metazoa; Chordata; Mammalia; Chiroptera; Pteropodidae
Description: miRNA (ENSPVAG00000024443.1)
Source: RNAcentral
UUUGCAUGUGCAUGUGCGUAUGUGCGCACAAGCGUGCACACACACACACACACACACACACACACACACACACACA